GUUAUUUUGUAAGACGAGCUCUCAAGCAUCAGAAGUGGAGAGUACCAAAAGGGAAGGUUCUGCUUAUAUUAUGCCCUGUACAUGGGGCAAUCAACCUGAAGACACAUUGGCACUUGUGCUUAACUUCCCAACAACCAGCACAAACUGAUGCCUUGGGCCACGUGUCCUUUUCUUGAAUCUCCUUACGUGACUUCGUGCCAAAGUUUGUCUCAUACUACACCAGUGAAGGGUCUUGCGACUGUUUAUUACUUUAAAGUAAUACGUACUCUAUUAUUUUGUUUUUAACUAUGAAUUCAAUUCUCAAGCUGCC
Molecule: long non-coding RNA, 310 nt
Organism: Stegostoma tigrinum
Lineage: Eukaryota; Metazoa; Chordata; Chondrichthyes; Orectolobiformes; Stegostomatidae
Exons: 4
Source: RefSeq, a predicted model, not a curated record